UACUCCUACGGGAGGCAGCAGUGAGGAAUAUUGGACAAUGGAUGGAAAUCUGAUCCAGCCAUGCCGCGUGCAGGAAGACGGCCCUAUGGGUUGUAAACUGCUUUUGUAUGGGAGCAAUAAGGGCUACGUGUAGUCCGAUGAGAGUACCAUACGAAUAAGCACCGGCUAACUCCGUGCCAGCAGCCGCGGUAAUA
This 194-nucleotide ribosomal RNA is filed under the name uncultured Rikenella sp. RNAcentral's name for it is "partial 16S ribosomal RNA". It matches the Rfam family "Bacterial small subunit ribosomal RNA", at positions 334 to 525 of the family's 1533-position model. Lineage: Bacteria; Pseudomonadati; Bacteroidota; Bacteroidia; Bacteroidales; Rikenellaceae. The record is from RNAcentral.